AGAAUCAACGCUGGCGGCGUGCCUAACACAUGCAAGUCGAACGCGAAAGUCCCGAAAGGGAUAAGUAGAGUGGCAAACGGGUGAGUAACACGUGGGUGACCUGCCUUCAAGUGGGGGAUAACGUCCCGAAAGGGACGCUAAUACCGCAUAACAUGCUGUCUUUUAACAGGCGGACAUCAAAGCUGGGGAUCGCAAGACCUAGCGCUAGAAGAGGGGCCCGCGCCUGAUUAGCUAGUUGGUAGGGUAAUGGCUCACCAAGGCGACGAUCAGUA
RNAcentral lists this ribosomal RNA (272 nucleotides) under uncultured soil bacterium. Its description in RNAcentral is "partial 16S ribosomal RNA". It matches the Rfam family "Bacterial small subunit ribosomal RNA", at positions 26 to 285 of the family's 1533-position model. The record is from RNAcentral.